Molecule: ribosomal RNA, 1343 nt
Filed under: uncultured bacterium
Lineage: Bacteria
Description: 16S ribosomal RNA
Rfam family: Bacterial small subunit ribosomal RNA
Source: RNAcentral
GACGAACGCUGGCGGCGUGCUUAACACAUGCAAGUCGAACGGAAAGGCCCUGCUUUUGUGGGGUGCUCGAGUGGCGAACGGGUGAGUAACACGUGAGUAACCUGCCCUUGACUUUGGGAUAACUUCAGGAAACUGGGGCUAAUACCGGAUAGGAGCUCCUGCUGCAUGGUGGGGGUUGGAAAGUUUCGGCGGUUGGGGAUGGACUCGCGGCUUAUCAGCUUGUUGGUGGGGUAGUGGCUUACCAAGGCUUUGACGGGUAGCCGGCCUGAGAGGGUGACCGGCCACAUUGGGACUGAGAUACGGCCCAGACUCCUACGGGAGGCAGCAGUGGGGAAUAUUGCACAAUGGGCGGAAGCCUGAUGCAGCAACGCCGCGUGCGGGAUGACGGCCUUCGGGUUGUAAACCGCUUUCGCCUGUGACGAAGCGUGAGUGACGGUAAUGGGUAAAGAAGCACCGGCUAACUACGUGCCAGCAGCCGCGGUGAUACGUAGGGUGCGAGCGUUGUCCGGAUUUAUUGGGCGUAAAGGGCUUGUAGGUGGUUGAUCGCGUCGGAAGUGUAAUCUUGGGGCUUAACCCUGAGCGUGCUUUCGAUACGGGUUGACUUGAGGAAGGUAGGGGAGAAUGGAAUUCCUGGUGGAGCGGUGGAAUGCGCAGAUAUCAGGAGGAACACCAGUGGCGAAGGCGGUUCUCUGGGCCUUUCCUGACGCUGAGGAGCGAAAGCGUGGGGAGCGAACAGGCUUAGAUACCCUGGUAGUCCACGCUGUAAACGGUGGGUACUAGGUGUGGGGUCCAUUCCACGGGUUCCGUGCCGUAGCUAACGCUUUAAGUACCCCGCCUGGGGAGUACGGCCGCAAGGCUAAAACUCAAAGGAAUUGACGGGGCCCCGCACAAGCGGCGGAGCAUGCGGAUUAAUUCGAUGCAACGCGUAGAACCUUACCUGGGUUUGACAUGGAUCGGGAGUGCUCAGAGAUGGGUGUGCCUCUUUUGGGGUCGGUUCACAGGUGGUGCAUGGCUGUCGUCAGCUCGUGUCGUGAGAUGUUGGGUUAAGUCCCGCAACGAGCGCAACCCUUGUUCACUGUUGCCAGCACGUUAUGGUGGGGACUCAGUGGAGACCGCCGGGGUCAACUCGGAGGAAGGUGGGGAUGACGUCAAGUCAUCAUGCCCCUUAUGUCCAGGGCCUCACGCAUGCUACAAUGGCUGGUACAGAGAGUGGCGAGCCUGUGAGGGUGAGCGAAUCUCGGAAAGCCGGUCUCAGUUCGGAUUGGGGUCUGCAACUCGACCUCAUGAAGUCGGAGUCGCUAGUAAUCGCAGAUCAGCAACGCUGCGGUGAAUACGUUCCCGGG